This 253-nucleotide ribosomal RNA is filed under the name uncultured bacterium. RNAcentral's name for it is "partial 16S ribosomal RNA". It matches the Rfam family "Bacterial small subunit ribosomal RNA", at positions 524 to 776 of the family's 1533-position model. The record is from RNAcentral.
UACGGAGGGCGCAAGCGUUGUUCGGAAUCACUGGGCGUAAAGCGCGUGUAGGCGGCCGGGCAAGUCGGAUGUGAAAUCCCGAGGCUCAACCUCGGAACUGCAUUCGAAACUGCUUGGCUUGAGUCCCGGAGAGGAUGGCGGAAUUCCCGGUGUAGGGGUGAAAUCCGUAGAGAUCGGGAGGAACACCAGUGGCGAAGGCGGCCAUCUGGACGGUGACUGACGCUGAGACGCGAAAGAGUGGGGAGCAAACAGG